CCUAAUACAUGCAAGUCGAGCGAUGAGGCUCCUUCGGGAGUACAUCAGCGGCGAACGGGUGAGUAACACGUGGGUGACUUGCCCCGAAGAUGGGGAUAACCUCUGGAAACGGGGGCUAAUACCCAAUGUGCUCGGUGAUUCGGUUCAUCGAGUAAAGCUCCGGCGCUUCGGGAGAGGCCUGCGGCCCAUCAGCUAGUUGGUAGGGUAACGGCCUACCAAGGCAGAGACGGGUAGGGGGCGUGAGAGCGCGGACCCCCACACUGGCACUGAGAUACGGGCCAGACUCCUACGGGAGGCAGCAGUAAGGGAUAUUGCGCAAUGGACGAAAGUCAGACGCAGCGACGCCGCGUGGGCGAUGAAGGCCUUCGGGUUGUAAAGCCCUUUUAUGGGGGAAGAGAAAAAGGACGGUACCCCAGGAAUAAGUCCCGGCUAACUACGUGCCAGCAGCCGCGGUAAAACGUAGGGGACAAGCGUUAUCCGGAUUCACUGGGCGUAAAGAGCGUUGAGGCGGUUCCGUAAGUUGGGCGUGAAAGCUCCGGGCUUAACUCGGAGAUGUCGUUCAAUACUGCGGGGCUUGAGGACAGCAGAGGAAGGUGGAAUUCCCGGUGUAGUGGUGAAAUGCGUAGAUAUCGGGAGGAACACCCGUGGCGAAGGCGGCCUUCUGGGCUGUUCCUGACGCUGAAGGCGAAAGCUACGGGAGCGAACGGGAUUAGAUACCCCGGUAGUCCUAGCUGUAAACGAUGGAUGCUGGGUGUGGGGGG
This 761-nucleotide ribosomal RNA is filed under the name uncultured organism. RNAcentral describes it as "bacterial SSU rRNA". It matches the Rfam family "Bacterial small subunit ribosomal RNA", at positions 47 to 829 of the family's 1533-position model. The record is from RNAcentral.